AGCGAACGCUGGCGGCAGGCCUAACACAUGCAAGUCGAACGAAGUCUUCGGACUUAGUGGCGGACGGGUGAGUAACAAGUGGGAACGUACCUUUUGGUAAGGAACAACUCAGGGAAACUUGAGCUAAUACCGAAUGUGCCCUUAGGGGGAAAGAUUUAUCGCCAUUAGAGCGGCCCGCGUUAGAUUAGCUAGUUGGUGGGGUAAAGGCCCACCAAGGCUACGAUCUAUAGCUGGUCUGAGAGGAUGAUCAGCCACACUGGGACUGAGACACGGACCAGACUCCUACGGGAGGCAGCAGUGGGAAAUCUUGCGCAAUGGGCGAAAGCCUGACGCAGCCAUGCCGCGUGAAUGAUGAAGGUCUUAGGAUUGUAAAAUUCUUUCAGUAGGGAAGAUAAUGACGGUACCUACAGAAGAAGCUCCGGCUAACUUCGUGCCAGCAGCCGCAGUAA
This 449-nucleotide ribosomal RNA is filed under the name uncultured bacterium. Its description in RNAcentral is "partial 16S ribosomal RNA". It matches the Rfam family "Bacterial small subunit ribosomal RNA", at positions 29 to 523 of the family's 1533-position model. The record is from RNAcentral.